UGGGGAAUCUUAGACAAUGGGCGCAAGCCUGAUCUAGCCAUGCCGCGUGAGCGAUGAAGGCCUUAGGGUUGUAAAGCUCUUUCGCUGGGGAAGAUAAUGACUGUACCCAGUAAAGAAGCCCCGGCUAACUCCGUGCCAGCAGCCGCGGUAAUACGGAGGGGGCUAGCGUUAUUCGGAAGUACUGGGCGUAAAGCGCAUGUAGGCGGACCAGAAAGUUGGAGGUGAAAGUCCAGGGCUCAACCUUGGAACUGCCUUCAAAACUUCUGGUCUUGAGUUCGAGAGAGGUGAGUGGAAUUCCGAGUGUAGAGGUGAAAUUCGUAGAUAUUCGGAGGAACACCAGUGGCGAAGGCGGCUCACUGGCUCGAUACUGACGCUGAGGUGCGAAAGCGUGGGGAGCAAACAGG
This 404-nucleotide ribosomal RNA is filed under the name uncultured prokaryote. RNAcentral's name for it is "bacterial SSU rRNA". It matches the Rfam family "Bacterial small subunit ribosomal RNA", at positions 355 to 776 of the family's 1533-position model. RNAcentral also lists the same sequence under 1 other name. The record is from RNAcentral.